Molecule: ribosomal RNA, 616 nt
Filed under: Maladera holosericea
Lineage: Eukaryota; Metazoa; Arthropoda; Insecta; Coleoptera; Scarabaeidae
Description: partial 16S large subunit ribosomal RNA
Rfam family: Bacterial large subunit ribosomal RNA
Source: RNAcentral
UUUAAAGUCUGAUCUGCCCUAUGAGGGGUUAAAUGGCCGCGGUACUUUGACCGUGCAAAGGUAGCAUAAUAAUUAGUUUUUUAAUUGAAAGCUGGAAUGAAUGAUUGGACGAGGAAAUGACUGUCUCAAUUUAAUUUUUUUUUGAAUUUUAUUUUUAAGUAAGAAAGCUUAAAUUUUAUUAAAAGACGAGAAGACCCUAUAGAGUUUUAUAUUUACUUUGGUUUUAAUUUUAAAGUAUUAUUUUAUUAAUAUUAAAUUAAAUAUUUUAUUGGGGUGAUAGAAAAAUAUUAUUAACUUUUUUUAUAUUUUUAGCCAUUAAUUUAUGACUUAAUGAUCCAUUGUUUAUGAUUAAAAGAAUAAGUUACCUUAGGGAUAACAGCGUAAUUUUUUUUAAGAGUUCUUAUCGAGAGAAAAGAUUGCGACCUCGAUGUUGGAUUAAAAUUAAUGUUUGGUGUAGGAGCUAAAUAAUUAGGUCUGUUCGACCUUUAGAAUUUUACAUGAUCUGAGUUUAAACCGGCGUAAGCCAGGUUGGUUUCUAUCUUUAAUUAAGUUGAAUAUUUUAGUACGAAAGGACCAAAUAUUUAUAAAAAUUAUUUUAUUUUAUGAAUAAUAUUAG